GGGAUGUGAUGAGUGGUCAUAAUUCGCAAAUUAAAAUGCGAGAGAUGGGUGUCUGCCCCAAAGCCUGUUACGACAAUUGGGCACUCUCCUGUUUUACCAUCUGAUCCC
This is a small nucleolar RNA of Malus domestica (apple), 108 nucleotides long. RefSeq annotates it as small nucleolar RNA Z279/snoR105/snoR108. Lineage: Eukaryota; Viridiplantae; Streptophyta; Magnoliopsida; Rosales; Rosaceae. The record is from RefSeq and is a predicted model, not a curated record.